GAUGAACGCUGGCGGCGUGCUUAACACAUGCAAGUCGAACGGAAAGGCUCCUGCUUGCAGGGGUACUCGAGUGGCGAACGGGUGAGUAGCACGUGGGUGAUCUGCCCUGCACUUCGGGAUAAGCCUGGGAAACUGGGUCUAAUACCGGAUAGGACGAUGGUUUGGAUGCCAUUGUGGAAAGUUUUUCGGUGUGGGAUGAGCUCGCGGCCUAUCAGCUUGUUGGUGGGGUAAUGGCCUACCAAGGCGUCGACGGGUAGCCGGCCUGAGAGGGUGUACGGCCACAUUGGGACUGAGAUACGGCCCAGACUCCUACGGGGGGCAGCAGUGGGGAAUAAUGCACAAUGGGCGCAAGCCUGAUGCAGCGACGCCGCGUGGGGGAUGACGGCCUUCGGGUUGUAAACUCCUUUCGUCAGGGACGAAGCGAAAGUGACGGUACCUGGAUAAGAAGCACCGGCUAACUACGUG
RNAcentral lists this ribosomal RNA (465 nucleotides) under uncultured bacterium. Its description in RNAcentral is "partial 16S ribosomal RNA". It matches the Rfam family "Bacterial small subunit ribosomal RNA", at positions 28 to 507 of the family's 1533-position model. The record is from RNAcentral.